Molecule: long non-coding RNA, 802 nt
Organism: Mytilus trossulus (common blue mussel)
Lineage: Eukaryota; Metazoa; Mollusca; Bivalvia; Mytilida; Mytilidae
Exons: 3
Source: RefSeq, a predicted model, not a curated record
GAGAAAUUGGUAUUUCAUUACGAUGUAAUUUCUCGACAUUAGUCACAGAGGCGGAGCAAAGGUUAAUAAUUAAUGCGAUCUUCGGUUACGAUGUAUGCGCCUACGGAUUUCCAGUAUUGUUUAUAGUUGAGUAAGAGGGCUUGAACAGUCUUUGAGAAGCGGGUCUUGAAAGCAAAAGUCCAAGAAACUAGAAGAUGAAGUCCAUCUAUUGUCUAUAUGCCAUCAUGCUAGCAGUUGCUACAAUUUCAGAAGUUUACAGUGGAAAGUGUGAAUUUAUGUGUUUACGGAAAGCGAUCAGAUGUAAACGACAAAAGAAAGAUUAUUGCUGCGAAGAGUUUAAAAAGUGUGGACUAGAAAAAUGUGGAGAGCCAGACUUAAGAUGUGAAGAUAAAAGAGGAAGCUGGAACAAAAGAUAUUACAAUGAUUUCGAAUUAUCACAAGAAGAAGACGAAGAUAUGUCAUUACCUUAUUUUUAAAACAUCAAAGCUUUUGCAGCAUAACAAUACGUGGUUAUCAUCUUCAUUCACAUUAAAAUUUUGGAAAUUAAAAGAUCAUCUUAUCAGCAUUUCAAUUGACAUUUUUGUUUUGAAGACACAGUUAAAAUAUAUUGGAGUGGACACAGCAAUUGGGACGUGAAAGCUUUUGCUAUUAUAUAAUAUAUAAAACGUGCUUAAAUUUUAAGGUGGAUCGUUAAAAACUAUUGAAAUUUUAUUGCAUACUAAUGUAGCCAAAUUAUAUAAUAUAAAAGCGUGAAAUGUUAAACAUGGAAUUUUGCUAGAAAAAUAAAUUGGUCAGGAAAAUA